Molecule: ribosomal RNA, 377 nt
Filed under: uncultured eukaryote
Lineage: Eukaryota
Description: partial 18S ribosomal RNA
Rfam family: Eukaryotic small subunit ribosomal RNA
Source: RNAcentral
CAAUAGCGUAUAUUUAAGUUGCUGCAGUUAAAAAGCUCGUAGUUGGAUUUCGGGUGGGAAUGGCCGGUCCGCCGUUUCGGUGUGCACUUGCUACGCCCACCUUGCUGCCGGGGACGUGCUCUUGAGUUCACGCUCGGGACACGGAGUCGGCGAGGUUACUUUGAGUAAAUUAGAGUGUUCAAAGCAGGCCUACGCUCUGAAUACAUUAGCAUGGAAUAACACGAUAGGACUCUGGCCUCUCUUGUUGGUCUGUAGGACCGGAGUAAUGAUUAAGGGGGACAGUCGGGGGCAUUCGUAUUUCAUUGUCAGAGGUGAAAUUCUUGGAUUUAUGAAAGACGAACUACUGCGAAAGCAUUUGCCAAGGAUGUUUUCAUUAA